CCUUCCAUUUCUCUGGUGUUGUUUCAGCCAUAUUCUAGAUUAGUUUUUUGUCAACUAGUCUGGACAAGAUGAUAUCUUCUGUUUUGUCAUAGAUAAAAUGACCAUUUGCCUCAGGUUGAGGAAAGGAACCAUAUUUGGUGGGAAAUCACUGGAAUGGGACAGCCAUUGGAAUGGGUUUAAGAGUGCUCAGAAGAGGGUGUCCUCUCUUGUGGAAGUUAUAUCUAAGGGGUAAUAUAAGUUGUAUAUCUUAGGAAUAGCUUGUAUUGACAUAGAUACUGGUCAUGUAAUAGGUGUUCAAAUAUCUGUGGAACAUUGAAGAAAUGAAUGAAUGAAUUGAAAACCAAUGGAGAAAAAUAUUCUCUGAGGACAGGUUAUCCUUUUAUGUUUAUGAUUGCUCUAAGUUUUUAAAGUUUAUAAAGUUCUGGAGUUUCCCCUAAAUGGAAAAUUUUCCUAGUGUCUGGCCUUUAC
This 468-nucleotide long non-coding RNA is filed under the name Bos taurus (domestic cattle). RNAcentral's name for it is "long non-coding RNA NONBTAT026182". Lineage: Eukaryota; Metazoa; Chordata; Mammalia; Artiodactyla; Bovidae. The record is from RNAcentral.